UACGUAGGGGGCUAGCGUUGUCCGGAAUCAUUGGGCGUAAAGAGCGUGUAGGCGGUCCGGUAAGUCCGCUGUGAAAGUCGGGGGCUCAACCCUCGAAUGCCGGUGGAUACUGUCGGGCUAGAGUGCGGAAGAGGCGAGUGGAAUUCCUGGUGUAGCGGUGAAAUGCGCAGAUAUCAGGAGGAACACCUAUUGCGAAGGCAGCUCGCUGGGACGUAACUGACGCUGAGGCGCGAAAGCGUGGGGAGCGAACAGG
This 253-nucleotide ribosomal RNA is filed under the name uncultured bacterium. Its description in RNAcentral is "partial 16S ribosomal RNA". It matches the Rfam family "Bacterial small subunit ribosomal RNA", at positions 524 to 776 of the family's 1533-position model. The record is from RNAcentral.